AGGCAUCUAAGCGGGAAGCCUGUUCCAAGAUGAGGUCUCCCACCACCUUCGAGUGGGUAAGGCCCCCCAGAGAUGAUGGGGUUGAUAGGCCAGACAUGGAAGCGCAGCAAUGCGUGCUGGAGUGGACUGGUACUAAUCGGCCGAGGGCUUGACCAC
This 156-nucleotide ribosomal RNA is filed under the name Saccharomonospora viridis. RNAcentral describes it as "partial 23S rRNA. Bacterial LSU". It matches the Rfam family "Bacterial large subunit ribosomal RNA", at positions 2775 to 2925 of the family's 2925-position model. The record is from RNAcentral. Lineage: Bacteria; Bacillati; Actinomycetota; Actinomycetes; Pseudonocardiales; Pseudonocardiaceae.